This 68-nucleotide transfer RNA is filed under the name Mitjaevia shibingensis. Its description in RNAcentral is "tRNA-Gln". The record is from RNAcentral. Lineage: Eukaryota; Metazoa; Arthropoda; Insecta; Hemiptera; Cicadellidae.
UGUAGUAAAGUGUUUAAAGCAUGUAAAAUUUUGAUUUUUAAGGAUGAGUUUAAUUCUCAAUUCUACAA